RNAcentral lists this transfer RNA (73 nucleotides) under Actinomycetota bacterium. RNAcentral describes it as "tRNA-Lys". It matches the Rfam family "tRNA". Rfam says of the family: Transfer RNA (tRNA) molecules are approximately 80 nucleotides in length. Their secondary structure includes four short double-helical elements and three loops (D, anti-codon, and T loops). Lineage: Bacteria; Bacillati; Actinomycetota. The record is from RNAcentral.
GCGCCUCUAGCUCAACUGGCAGAGCAGCGGACUCUUAAUCCGCGGGUUCAGGGUUCGAGGCCCUGGGGGCGCA